CACACACACACACACACACACACAGAGCGCGAGGACGCUAUAAAGCUGCUCUGUUGGGUUGCUCUUGUCAAAAGUGCUGGAGAUGUGAGGAGGAGUGAAGGAACUGGAGGAACUUCCACACGAUUUCGUUUCCUUUCUGCUGGAUUUCGGGACAAAACUCGCUGAUUCAUUUUUAAUAUUUUGCACAUUUUAGGUCUUUUUUUGCGCAGCUCCAGACUCCUGAUAUAUAUUUAUAUUUAUAUAUAGAUUUAUUUUUUGUAUCAGUUUUAGAAGAAACUUCUUUCUUCCUGACCAGCCUGCACUCAAGAUUAACGGGAUCCGUGCGGAAACAGUAUCGGGAGAGUGUGUGUGUGUGUGUGUGUGUGUGUGUGUGUGUUUGACGUUGCUGUGAUGGGCGCGUGUCCCGCAGGCUCGGUGUCCGCGCUUCACCGGUUCUUUUCCCGCUGCGUGCUCCUGCUGCUGGUGUGUUUGGUGUGCGGGGUUCUGGGGACCUGGGGACCGGGACGGUACAGCUACCAAACCAGGACCUCACUCAACAAAGACCCGAGCAAAAGGUACGCUAAUUUACGAGUUUAACGCAAAGUUUGUGUGGCGACGAGUGCAGAAGUUUGUGCACCCUCAGCACCAGCACACUUUGACUGAUGUGUUCUCAUUAUCAUUAUCACACCUGAGAUGGUGUAAAAGGUAAAUAAAUAGCUGUGUUCAAAGUUCAGUGAUCGAAAUGAACGAAUUCAUGUAACAAUCAUAAGCCGAGAACUGGUGCGUAAAAUUAUUAUUUUAUUUUAGAAUGGUGUAUAAAUCAUUUAAACAGGCUAGCAGGAGGAUUUCACGAUUUUUCAAUAUAAUAUAUUCACUUAUACACUAUUUACUUAUACACUAUACACUAAAUAUUCACUUAUACACUAUUCACAUAUACACUAUACACUUAUACACUAUACACUAAAUAUUCACUUAUACACUAUUCAUGUAUAUACUAUACACUUAUAACACUAUACACUAAAUAUUCACUUAUACACUAUACACUUAUACACUAUACACUAAAUAUUCACUUAUACACUAUUCACAUAUACACUAUACACUUAUAACUAUACUCAUACACUAUUCAUGUAUAUAUUAUACACAUAAACACUAUACACUAAAUGUUCACUUAUACACUAUUCACAUAUACACUAUACACUAAUAUUCACUUAUGCACUAUACACUAAUACACUAUACACGUAAACACUAUACACUAAAUGUUCACUUAUACACUAUUCAUAAAAUACACUGUACACUAAUACACUAUACACUAAAUAUUCACUUAUGGACUAUACACUUAUACACUAUACACUAAAUAGUCACUAUGCACUAUACACUAAUACACUAUACAUGUAAACACUAUACACUAAAUGUUCACUUAUACACUAUUCACAUAUACACUAUACACUUACACACUAUACACUAAUACACUAUACACUAAAUAUUCACUUAUGGACUAUAUACUUAUACACUAUACACUUAUACGCUAUACACUAAAUAUUGACUUUAUUUUCGCUGAUUAGUGUGUACUGCUCUUUAUAAUAUAUAUAUUUUUUAAACGCAGAAACAUUUAAUUUCAUUAUGUUUGAAGGCAUCUUUGCUCUACAGCGUUUCUUUCUUCGCACAGUCCUGUAUAUGAAAUGAAACAACUGGCACAAAAAUGGACUUUAACGUCCAGUGAAAUACUCGUUACUGUAUUUUCAGCAGCGUUUAAAAGACAGUCGACGUCUUUUCAUUACUAAUCAUCGAUACAGGGUUAGAGCGCAGACGAUCUGUAAUCACCAUACUCGAGUGUCGGACGAUCUUCCAGCAAUAUCGUGUCGCCUGUAAAUUUUAGCUUUAACAAUAUUCAUUUGAUGACAGUUUUUUUUUUUUAAAAAGAAAGAAAGAAAGAAAGAAAACACUGGGUGGGCUGUUUUUUUACAAAAAAAAAAAAAAGAUGCAAAACGUGAACAUGAAAUGAAUCUGCUUAUAGAGAUUGUAAUCAUUAAAGAAAAAGAAAUGAUAAAAAGAUAUCUCGAUACCUGCGCUAUCUCGGAAAAAUGUCUUGUGACAUAAUUUAUCGCAAUAUGGAUAUUAUUAUAUAUUUCGGUUCUACCUCAAGUCCUGUUAAACGACAUAAUAAUGAAUAAAAUGAAGUGAUUUUCGGGAUCAAAGGUGAAAAUGAACCCUUCAGUAGCGGUGUAUCCGAGUGUCGUGUAUAAUCUGUCGUACUUUUGUGAGCUUGCAUCUCAGCGAGAGAUCACAGAUGUGUGUGUGUGUGCGUGUGUUUCUGGUUGUAAUUAGUCCCAGCUAUAAUAAUUGACUAUUAGCGAUUUCUCAGAGCGUUAAGAGUGCAGCCUACAGAUGUGCGCUCACUCGUUUCAGAGCAGUUCUUGUCCGUUCAUCCGUCUCUUCGUCGAACGCCGUUUUCACAGUAAACGCAAACGUUCCAGCACCUUGGAGACGUUUUUCCAUCAGCGUGAUGAGUCAAGAACCGUCUCCAUUCACAUCCACAGAAAGAGUUAGCGUUAGCAUACAAAACAAAUCCAAAACAUCCAUCUUAACGUCACGCACUGUGUGUGUGACACUCGGCUUCCUCUUUCCUGUGGGAACACGCACAGCUCACUUCCAUCCUCACCGCGCCUAUUGUCUGUCUUAAGCGCUGACUAAGGACCUGCUUUCCCUCAAACGUCAGCAAACUUCACGUUCUCUGGUCCGUCCCUUUGAAGGAACCCUCAAAGGUUCCAGAGACGGACAACAGCCUCGUUAACCCUCCAAAGAACCCUUUUGCUUUGACAUGCGCGGUGUUUAACGUGUUUGAAUGGAACCCUGGUGCGUUCUCCUCCUCGGUGCGGAUCUUUAAGCACACAGAGAUCGCACUCUGGGGUUCUGACCGAGGUGGACGUGGUCCGCUUUCACGUGAGAAAGUUGCAGCGUUCGAGCCCGAGUACAGAGCCGUAGCGCUGCAGAAAUGCCGCUAGUUCUUUAUAUACGCGUCGACGCGGUCGUUGAGGUCAGCGUUCAACGGAAAUUCUGCCUCGAUAUUUCUGACCGGUGAGUGAUGUAGUCCGAGUGCGUCAUGAGUGCAAGUAAAAACACUUAGACUAACAUUCGUUAGAGUCUCUCUAGCAUUAAAGUAUUGUUUUUACUCGAUUUGGACUUUUUGUAUGAAAGCUUUGGACAGAGACACACGCGGCUCUGAGAAUGAGAAAUCAGGAUCAGGGUUUAUACUUACAAUAGAAGUGAUUUGGAGAUGAUUUCCAUGUUGGAUUUUUCCUCCAUGUGGACGCUAUGGAUGAAUGGGUUGGAUUUUUGACCUUAUAUAAUGUUUUGUAAGCGUGGGACUUGAUACUUUACAACAGCCUUCGCUUAGCUGACAAAGACGGGCCUUCUAAUCCUCUCUAAAGCCUGUAGAGAGUGAGCUGCUGCUAGACGCGCACACACACACACACACACACACACGGAGUGUGAUAUAAAGCCUGAACAAGCUCUUCGCUGCUCUCGGUCAGUCGGUCGGUCACGCUCAGGGUGUUGAGGUAUAAGAUGACGGACGAACAUCUUUCACGUUCAGAUUUCACGCUGAAACGGCGACUUAACCUCAAGUGUCGUCAUGUUACAGACGUGUGGUGACGCUCGGUGAUAUCGUGUCUCACUAAAGACGUGUGUGUGUGUGUGUGUGUUUGGUUUUGAGAGGAAGUUGGCAGAACGAACGCUAAACGCCUCAUUUCCAGCCUGUGAUCUCGGUGAAAAACGAGAACAGAGCUCGAGUGUGUGGCCGAGACCCGACCUCCGUCGCGCAUACAAAUAUUUACCCCGUUUGUGUGUGUGUGUGUGUGUGUGUGUGUGUUUGUGUGUGUGUGUGUGGGGGUGAAGUACCCAGUUGCGGACGAGCGCCUGUUGCCUCAGUUUAUCUCCUCCCGUCUGUCAGACUCGCAGGGACAGACAGUGUUUAGCAAACAGACACAGCUGGAGCACCUCUGGAAUUUUACUCUUUACUAACGAGAGCAGUGCAUUCUGGGAGCUUUUCCUUCGCUGCUGGAUGCCGGGUCAAGUCGAGUAUCUGACAGCUGGUUCCUUUUGAAACAGGGUUCGAGCUCCUGUAGCUCAGAACGUGUGAGCGAUCUCGAGUUACGUCUCGGCGAUCCGAAAACACGACCUGUAGAUGGACCGGUGUGUCUGAUGACCUGAGAUCAUCACGCCGGUCUCUUAUUUACAGCACACAGUAUUAGCCCACGUCCCACGUGAUCCGGGCUCCUCACGUCCGGAUCCGACCGACUUCAAUGACUGAAUGAAAAUUUUGACAGCAGAUUAAUUCAUGAGUAAUCCUCUGACACGUUGUUCCUUAAAGUUUGGUCCGUGAUUUUGGUAUUGUUUCGUUGCCGAGUCGGUUUCAUUUGGAAGUCGCAGCCCAACGUUGAUAUCUUUAUCCACAGAGUUCUUCUCGUUCUUAGCCGGGCUCGAUCGCUCCCUGGAUUUAAAAGGCUUUCAUCCAGACAACUCAUAAACAAAUAAAUAAAGCUCCACAUAAUGUUAGCUUGGACUUAAUAUGUUCUGCUGGUGGAACAUUCAAGAAUAACACGCACCGUGACUCCAAAAUGUAGACAAAGUAGUAUUGUCUUCACUUUUCAAUAACGUUAAUGAAAUAAAUAAAUAUGUACCGAGGGGGUCCUUGGGAUCCGUUUCACAGUUAACGCGUGUAACGGUUACAGAAAGUUUGAGAUCUCUGCAGUACUUUGUCUGGGUCUGCAUCCAGACCUCCUCAGUGGGUACGUCCCUGUUUUACACAGGCAGGAUACAAGCUCAGGGAGUUUCGAGGGUCGUUUUUGCUCCGGUUUCCACCGAGGAACCUUUUUAGGAAGCGAAAACCUUCCUGAACAGUUCCUUCGUCACGUUUCCUGGAUUUCAGGGGUUUCCACUCCACUACGGGAGUCAUAGAAGAACACGAAAACACACGUUAUCUCACCGUCCGUUAUAGAAAUCGGACGCGAUUCUGUCCGGAUCUCGGACACUCGAUCGUGUUUCCGAGAUGUUUAUCGUGUGGAUGUCUCAAGCUCUUCACCACACACAGGAACGUGAAUCGGGACCCCGGCAGCUG
This is a long non-coding RNA of Ictalurus punctatus (channel catfish), 5095 nucleotides long. The record is from Ensembl. NCBI's taxonomy places the organism in Eukaryota, Metazoa, Chordata, Actinopteri, Siluriformes, Ictaluridae.